UUAAUGGCGUUUAUAAACGCCACAAAUAGUUUUAGUGGCGUUUAU
Molecule: non-coding RNA, 45 nt
Organism: Gossypium hirsutum (cotton)
Lineage: Eukaryota; Viridiplantae; Streptophyta; Magnoliopsida; Malvales; Malvaceae
Source: Rfam